CGCCGAUCCUUGAGGGAGCCCCAUAACCACUGGAAAAUUGUUUGAGUCGCCACCACCGUCCUAACCCUAGUCUUAGCUCCAUCGUACAUGUCCUUAAUGACUCUGAUGUAGGCUUCUGGCACGCUCUUCACCUCCAAGCACCUCCAUAGCACCUCUAUUGGGACCUUGUCAUACGCCUUCUCCAAGUCGAUAAGCACCAUAUGUAGGUCCUUCUUCUUAUCCCUGAAUUGCU
This 232-nucleotide long non-coding RNA is filed under the name Nicotiana benthamiana. RNAcentral describes it as "long non-coding RNA (NBEN_LNC035988)". The record is from RNAcentral. Lineage: Eukaryota; Viridiplantae; Streptophyta; Magnoliopsida; Solanales; Solanaceae.